Molecule: unclassified non-coding RNA, 283 nt
Filed under: uncultured fungus
Lineage: Eukaryota; Fungi
Description: sequence contains ITS2
Rfam family: 5.8S ribosomal RNA (bases 1-52)
Source: RNAcentral
AACGCACAUUGCGCCCACCAGUACUCUGGUGGGCAUGCCUGUCCGAGCGUCAUUUCGACCCUCGAGCCUCCCUUCGCGGUGGUUCGGUGCUGGGACGCUACAGCGCGCUUGCUCGCGCUGUAGGUCCCGAAAUGCAGUGGCGGCCUCGCCGAGACCCCGAGCGCAGUAAACCGUGCUUUAGCACAGCGCCUCGUUCAGGGUGUCCGGCGGGUGCCCCGGCCGUAAAACCCCCAACUUACAGAAGGUUGACCUCGGAUCAGGUAGGAAUACCCGCUGAACUUAA